RNAcentral lists this ribosomal RNA (445 nucleotides) under uncultured Sphingobacteriales bacterium. RNAcentral describes it as "bacterial SSU rRNA". It matches the Rfam family "Bacterial small subunit ribosomal RNA", at positions 934 to 1382 of the family's 1533-position model. The record is from RNAcentral. Lineage: Bacteria; Pseudomonadati; Bacteroidota; Sphingobacteriia; Sphingobacteriales.
AGAGCAUGUGUUAAUUCGAUGAUACGCAGGAACCUUACCUGGGCUCGAACGUAAGAUGACUGUAAGGUGAAAGCUUUACAUCUCUUCGGAGCAUUUUACGAGUGCUGCAUGGUUGUCGUCAGCUCGUGCCGUGAGGUGUCGGGUUAAGUCCCAUAACGAGCGCAACCCUACCUUAGUUGCCAUCAGGUAAUGCUGGGGACUCUAAAGGAACUGCCUACGCAAGUAGUGAGGAAGGCGGGGAUGACGUCAAAUCAGCACGGCCCUUACGUCCAGGGCUACACACGUGCUACAAUGGCCGAUACAGAGGGCAGCUACCUGGUGACAGGGAUGCAAAUCUCCAAAGUCGGUCUCAGUUCGGAUCGGAGUCUGCAACCCGACUCCGUGAAGUUGGAUUCGCUAGUAAUCGCGCAUCAGCCAUGGCGCGGUGAAUACGUUCCCGGGCCUU